This 65-nucleotide transfer RNA is filed under the name Dipodomys ordii (Ord's kangaroo rat). It matches the Rfam family "tRNA". From Rfam's summary of the family: Transfer RNA (tRNA) molecules are approximately 80 nucleotides in length. Their secondary structure includes four short double-helical elements and three loops (D, anti-codon, and T loops). Further hydrogen bonds mediate the characteristic L-shaped molecular structure. tRNAs have two regions of fundamental functional importance: the anti-codon, which is responsible for specific mRNA codon recognition, and the 3' end, to which the tRNAs corresponding amino acid is attached (by aminoacyl-tRNA synthetases). tRNAs cope with the degeneracy of the genetic code in two manners: having more than one tRNA (with a specific anti-codon) for a particular amino acid; and 'wobble' base-pairing, i.e. permitting non-standard base-pairing at the 3rd anti-codon position. Lineage: Eukaryota; Metazoa; Chordata; Mammalia; Rodentia; Heteromyidae. The record is from Rfam by way of RNAcentral.
GGUGGCUCAGUGGAAGAGCACUUGCCUUGCAUGCAUGAGGCCCUGGGUUCGAUUCCUUAGCACCA